GCUGCAGCAUGCAUUUCCUGGUUUCUCUUGCAGCUUAACAUGGCCACGUGACUAAGCUGUGGUCAGUAAGAUAUAAAUGAAUGUGCUGAGUAGGACUUUCUUGAAACAUUUUUCUUGAAAAGAGCAGGCUACAGAGCCCCAGCAGCUGUUUUGGACUAUGAGGUGUCCUUGGAAACAAAAUCCAGGUAUGCAUUGACAAUGUCAGUUGGCGAGCACCGCCUCCUUGAUUGUGCUACGAGCAGCAGCAAAGGAUGGUUACAGGAAAGCAAACAUCCACAUUGCUUAGCUGUCACUUUGCAGUUUCUGCUGCCUGUGACUAAAGCUCGAUUUCAACUAUCCAAGGGACCUGCUCCUGUUGCCUUCUAACCCAAGGGGACUCCAUGCCAGAUUCUGGCCUCUACAAUGCAGUGCACUACCAGAUGGCUCAGUGAAGUAAAGAUACUUGCUGCCACACUGACAACCUUUGGACUGAAUGGGAGAAGGAAAGAACUGACCGUCUCAAUUUGUCCUCUGAACUCCAUAUACAAACGACAUGUAGGAAUAUGCACACAUGCAAAAUAAGUAAAUAAAUGUAAUAGCAAAACAGACUGAAUAGGUCAGGUAAGAAUAUUUAGCUGGCACGUAGAAAGCCCUAGUUUCAAUCCUCAGGUUUUUUUUUUUAAAGAUUUAUUUAUUAUAUGUAAGUACACUGUAGCUGUCUUCAGAUG
Mus musculus (house mouse) is the source of this 707-nucleotide long non-coding RNA. RefSeq annotates it as predicted gene, 31496. The transcript is spliced from 3 exons. The record is from RefSeq and is a predicted model, not a curated record. NCBI's taxonomy places the organism in Eukaryota, Metazoa, Chordata, Mammalia, Rodentia, Muridae.